Molecule: non-coding RNA, 22 nt
Filed under: Arabidopsis thaliana (thale cress)
Lineage: Eukaryota; Viridiplantae; Streptophyta; Magnoliopsida; Brassicales; Brassicaceae
Source: RNAcentral
UUAAUGUCAGUGUGUCCACAAA